AGCCUUGUAGUCAAAAAUGAUUCUAAAUUGCAAAUUUGGAGGAGAGAGUAAUCUUUAGGGCUU
RNAcentral lists this transfer RNA (63 nucleotides) under Philonthus decorus. RNAcentral's name for it is "tRNA-Cys". Lineage: Eukaryota; Metazoa; Arthropoda; Insecta; Coleoptera; Staphylinidae. The record is from RNAcentral.